AGAAUGAUUGAUGGAAUGAAGUUGGAAGAAAGUUAGAAAUUUGGAGAAGGAUCUCAAGAGGACUUCGAGGGAACUCCCGGCGAAGCGUCUUAGAGCUAAUUUCUCAAACUUUGACUUUUGAUACUUGGUUUGAAAGUGGAAGUUCUGAGGCUUAAUUAGUGACCCCCAAAAAUAAUUUUUCCCUACAGGGCUCGAGGCCAAAGAAAGCGCUUGUAUUGAGUUAUUAGUGCCUGAAGGGAUAUCUCAUAUAUAAU
This is a long non-coding RNA of Coffea eugenioides, 254 nucleotides long. RefSeq lists it as uncharacterized. NCBI's taxonomy places the organism in Eukaryota, Viridiplantae, Streptophyta, Magnoliopsida, Gentianales, Rubiaceae. The transcript has 3 exons. The record is from RefSeq and is a predicted model, not a curated record.